AGUGAACGCUGGCGGUAGGCCUAACACAUGCAAGUCGAACGGCAGCACAGAGGAGCUUGCUCCUUGGGUGGCGAGUGGCGGACGGGUGAGGAAUACAUCGGAAUCUACUCUGUCGUGGGGGAUAACGUAGGGAAACUUACGCUAAUACCGCAUACGACCUACGGGUGAAAGCAGGGGAUCUUCGGACCUUGCGCGAUCGAAUGAGCCGAUGUCGGAUUAGCUAGUUGGCGGGGUAAAGGCCCACCAAGGCGACGAUCCGUAGCUGGUCUGAGAGGAUGAUCAGCCACACUGGAACUGAGAAACGGUCCAGACUCCUACGGGAGGCAGCAGUGGGGAAUAUUGGACAAUGGGCGCAAGCCUGAUCCAGCCAUACCGCGUGGGUGAAGAAGGCCUUCGGGUUGUAAAGCCCUUUUGUUGGGAAAGAAAUCCAUCUGGUUAAUACCCGGGUGGGAUGACGGUACCCAAAGAAUAAGCACCGGCUAACUUCGUGCCAGCAGCCGCCGUAA
RNAcentral lists this ribosomal RNA (506 nucleotides) under uncultured bacterium. RNAcentral's name for it is "partial 16S ribosomal RNA". It matches the Rfam family "Bacterial small subunit ribosomal RNA", at positions 29 to 523 of the family's 1533-position model. The record is from RNAcentral.